RNAcentral lists this ribosomal RNA (468 nucleotides) under uncultured bacterium. Its description in RNAcentral is "partial 16S ribosomal RNA". It matches the Rfam family "Bacterial small subunit ribosomal RNA", at positions 28 to 507 of the family's 1533-position model. The record is from RNAcentral.
GACGAACGCUGGCGGCGUGCUUAACACAUGCAAGUCGAACGGUAAGUCCCUGCUUUUGUGUGGUGCUCGAGUGGCGAACGGGUGAGUAACACGUGAGUAACCUGCCCUUUACUUUGGGAUAACUUCAGGAAACUGGGGCUAAUACCGGAUAUGAUCUCCUGCUGCAUGUUGUGGGUUGGAAAGUUUCGGCGUUUGGGGAUGUACUCGCUGGUUAUCUGCUUGUUGGUGGGGUAGUUGCUUACCAAGGCUUUGACGGGUAGCCGGCAUGAGAGGGUUAACGGGGACAAUGGGACUGAGAUAGGGAGCAGAAGGGAACGGGAGGCAGCAGUGGGGAAUAUUGCAAAAUGGGCGGAAGCGUGAUGAAGAAACGCGGGGAGCGGGAAGACGGGCUUCGGGUUGUAAACAGCUUUGGCAUGUGACGAAGCGUGAGUGACGGUAAUGGGUAAAGAAGCACCGGCUAACUACGUG